AAGUCGUAACAAGGUUUCCACACCGGAGAUCCUUCCUUGAAGCCUUUUCACACAACGACUAUAUAACCAGAUGUGUGCAGUCCGUCUAAUGCCACGGGCGACGUCACCGAUGUGCUGGAACAUCCUUGGAUGAACCAGCAGCUGAAUUUCACCCGAGAUUUGGUUCACAGAUUAGAUGGUGACGGUCGGUUCAAUUAUCCUUGCGGGGUUUAGGCUAGCCGUCCCCCAAGAAGUAAACGAGCCGAUGAAGAUAUAACCGGUCGAGCAUCGAUCAGAUGCCCGAGAAACGUUCCGUAGGUGAACCUGCGGAAGGAUCAUUAUCGAGUUUGGGUCCUCUGGGCCCCCUCUCCAACCCUUGUCUAUUCUACCACGUUGCUUCGGCGGGCCCGUCCCUCACCGGACCGCCGGGGAUUCACGUCCCUGGCCCGCGCCCGUCAGUAGCCCUCCUAAAAUUCUCUGAAUCGUGACGUCUAAGCAAGCUAUAAUAACUAAAACUUUCAACAACGGAUCUCUUGGUUCUGGCAUCGAUGAAGAACGCAGCGAAAUGCGAUAAGUAAUGCGAAUUGCAGAAUUCCGUGAGUCAUCGAAUCUUUGAACGCACAUUGCGCCCUUUGGUAUUCCGAAGGGCAUGCCUGUUCGAGCGUCAUUAUCAACCCUCAAGCCCGGCUUGCUGUUGGGUCCCGCCGUCGUUUUGACGGGCGGACCCCAAAGAUAAGGCCGAGUCCCGUGGGGACCUGGAUGCAGCGAGCCUCGCGGCACGCGUCCGGGCGUCCGGCGGGCCUGGUCUUGACCACACUUCUCUGGUUGACCUCGGAUCAGGUAGGGAUACCCGCUGAACUUAAGCAUAUCAAUAAGCGGAGGAAAAGAAACCAACAGGGAUUGCCUCAGUAACGGCGAGUGAAGCGGCAACAGCUCAAAUUUGAAAUCUGGCCCCCCUCGGGGGUCCGAGUUGUAAUUUGUAGAGGAUGUUUCGGGCAAGGCGGCGGUCUAAUUCGCUAGGAACAGCGGGUCAGAGAGGGUGAGAACCCCGUCUAGGACCGCACGCCGCGUCCAUGUGAAGCUCCUUCGACGAGUCGAGUUGUUUGGGAAUGCAGCUCUAAAUGGGUGGUAAAUUUCAUUUAAAGCUAAAUAUUGGCCAGAGACCGAUAGCGCACAAGUAGAGUGAUCGAAAGAUGAAAAGCACUUUGAAAAGAGAGUUAAACAGUAUGUGAAAUUGUUGAAAGGGAAGCGCUUGCAAUCAGACUUGUGGCCGACGGUUCCCCUGGCCCUCGUGGCCGGGCUACUCCGUCGUGUCCAGGCCAACAUCGGUCUGGGUGGCCGGUCAAAGACCCCGGGAAUGUAUCUACCUCCGGGUCGACUUAUAGCCCGGGGUGGAAUGCGGCCCACCCGGACCGAGGAACGCGCUCCGGCUCGGAUGUUGGCGUAAUGGUUGCAAGCGGCC
This 1441-nucleotide ribosomal RNA is filed under the name uncultured fungus. RNAcentral's name for it is "eukaryotic LSU rRNA". The stretch from base 806 to 1441 matches the Rfam family "Eukaryotic large subunit ribosomal RNA", at positions 1 to 649 of the family's 3401-position model. Lineage: Eukaryota; Fungi. The record is from RNAcentral.